GAUGAAGAACGCAGCGAAAUGCGAUAAGUAAUGUGAAUUGCAGAAUUCAGUGAAUCAUCAAAUCUUUGAACGCACAUUUCGCCCGGUAGUAUUCUGCCGGGCAUGCCUGUUCGAGCGUCAUUUCAACCAUCAAGCCCCAGCGCUUGUGUUGGGGGCCUGCGGCUGCCGCAGCCCCCUAAAAGCAGUGGCGGGCUCGCUAUCACACCGAGUGCAGUAGUUCAUCUUCUCUCCGGUCUUGUGAGGCGGGUUCCGGCCGUGAAACACCCCACUACAUUCAAGGUUGACCUCGGAUCAGGUAGGAAUACCCGCUGAACUUAAGCAUAUCAAUAAGCGGAGGA
Molecule: unclassified non-coding RNA, 338 nt
Filed under: soil metagenome
Description: partial contains 5.8S ribosomal RNA, internal transcribed spacer 2, and large subunit ribosomal RNA
Rfam family: 5.8S ribosomal RNA (bases 1-120)
Source: RNAcentral